GGCAACAUGGCCGAGUGGUCCAAGGCGAUAGACUUGAAUUGAUCCUUCAAUCGUUAUCUAUUAUCUUCGGAUGCGCAGGUUCGAACCCUGCUGUUGUCG
Molecule: transfer RNA, 99 nt
Organism: Colletotrichum salicis
Lineage: Eukaryota; Fungi; Ascomycota; Sordariomycetes; Glomerellales; Glomerellaceae
Rfam family: tRNA
About the family: Transfer RNA (tRNA) molecules are approximately 80 nucleotides in length. Their secondary structure includes four short double-helical elements and three loops (D, anti-codon, and T loops).
Source: Rfam